This 497-nucleotide ribosomal RNA is filed under the name uncultured Bacillus sp. Its description in RNAcentral is "bacterial SSU rRNA". It matches the Rfam family "Bacterial small subunit ribosomal RNA", at positions 9 to 486 of the family's 1533-position model. Lineage: Bacteria; Bacillati; Bacillota; Bacilli; Caryophanales; Bacillaceae. The record is from RNAcentral.
GAGUUUGAUCAUGGCUCAGGACGAACGCUGGCGGCGUGCCUAAUACAUGCAAGUCGAACGAACGGAUAAAGAGCUUGCUCUUUUGAAGUUAGUGGCGGACGGGUGAGUAAUACGUGGGUAACCUGCCCAUAAGAGGGGGAUAACAUUCGGAAACGGAUGCUAAUACCGCAUAUUUCAAGUGACCGCAUGGUCGCUUGAUGAAAGGCGGCUUCGGCUACCACUUAUGGAUGGACCCGCGGUGCAUUAGUUAGUUGGUGAGGUAAUGGCUCACCAAGACCAUGAUGCAUAGCCGACCUGAGAGGGUGAUCGGCCACACUGGGACUGAGACACGGCCCAGACUCCUACGGGAGGCAGCAGUAGGGAAUCUUCCGCAAUGGACGAAAGUCUGACGGAGCAAUGCCGCGUGAGUGAAGAAGGUUUUUCGGAUCGUAAAACUCUGUUGUUAGAGAAGAACAAGGAUGAGAGUAACUGCUCAUCCCCUGACGGUAUCUAACCAG